CUGGGCUACUCGUUCCGGAGCCGCCAUGUCGUCCGACUUCGAAGGUUACGAGCAGGACUUCGCGGUGCUCACUGCAGAGAUCACCAGCAAGAUUGCGAGGGUCCCACGACUCCCGCCUGAUGAAAAGAAACAGAUGGUUGCAAAUGUGGAGAAACAGCUUGAAGAAGCGAAAGAACUGCUUGAACAGAUGGAUUUGGAAGUCCGAGAGAUACCACCCCAAAGUCGAGGGAUGUACAGCAACAGAAUGAGAAGCUACAAACAAGAAAUGGGAAAACUCGAAACAGAUUUUAAAAGGUCACGGAUCGCCUACAGUGACGAAGUACGGAAUGAGCUCCUGGGGGAUGAUGGGAAUUCCUCAGAGAACCAGUUGAUAAAAUUACGUGAAGAGAGGGCACAUCUGCUCGAUAACACAGAGAGGCUGGAAAGGUCAUCUCGGAGACUAGA
RNAcentral lists this small RNA (444 nucleotides) under Pan troglodytes (chimpanzee). Its description in RNAcentral is "processed transcript". The record is from RNAcentral. Lineage: Eukaryota; Metazoa; Chordata; Mammalia; Primates; Hominidae.